This 253-nucleotide ribosomal RNA is filed under the name uncultured bacterium. Its description in RNAcentral is "partial 16S ribosomal RNA". It matches the Rfam family "Bacterial small subunit ribosomal RNA", at positions 524 to 776 of the family's 1533-position model. The record is from RNAcentral.
UACGUAGGGUGCGAGCGUUGUCCGGAAUUAUUGGGCGUAAAGGGCUCGUAGGCGGUCUGUCACGUCGGGAGUGAAAACACGGGGCUUAACCCCGUGCCUGCUUCCGAUACGGGCAGACUAGAGGUAUGCAGGGGAGAACGGAAUUCCUGGUGUAGCGGUGAAAUGCGCAGAUAUCAGGAGGAACACCGGUGGCGAAGGCAGCUUUCUGGCCUAAGACUGACGCUGAGGUGCGAAAGCGUGGGGAGCGAACGGG